UGGCCCUACGGGACGCAGCAGUGGGGGAUAUUGGACAAUGGGGGGAACCCUGAUCCAGCGACGCCGCGUGAGUGAAGAAGUAUUUCGGUAUGUAAAGCUCUGUCAGCAGGGAAGAAAAAAGACGGUACCUGACUAAGAAGCCCCGGCUAACUACGUGCCAGCAGCCGCGGUAAUACGUAGGGGGCAAGCGUUAUCCGGAUUUACUGGGUGUAAAGGGAGCGUAGACGGAGAAGCAAGUCUGAAGUGAAAGCCCGUGGCUUAACCACGGGACUGCUUUGGAAACUGUUCGACUAGAGUGCUGGAGG
RNAcentral lists this ribosomal RNA (305 nucleotides) under uncultured bacterium. Its description in RNAcentral is "bacterial SSU rRNA". It matches the Rfam family "Bacterial small subunit ribosomal RNA", at positions 334 to 655 of the family's 1533-position model. The record is from RNAcentral.